This 301-nucleotide small RNA is filed under the name Pan troglodytes (chimpanzee). Its description in RNAcentral is "processed transcript". Lineage: Eukaryota; Metazoa; Chordata; Mammalia; Primates; Hominidae. The record is from RNAcentral.
GUCGAAUCACGGCUGCUGCGAAGGGUCUAGUUCCGGACACUAGAGUCCGCUCUGCGGGUCCGACGGUCACACCUACUCCCAGAUCUGCCGCCUGCAGGAGGCGGCCCGCGCUCGGCCCGAUGCCAACCUCACUGUGGCACACCCGGGGCCCUGCGAAUCGGACUGGAUGCCUUUUCUGGGCCAUGCUAUUCUCAGACCUCCCACCUUCACCCCCAGGGCCCCAGAUCGUGUCACAUCCAUAUGACACUUGGAAUGUGACAGGGCAGGAUGUGAUCUUUGGCUGUGAGGUGUUUGCCUACCC